CCUACGGGGGGCAGCAGUGAGGAAUAUUGGUCAAUGGACGAGAGUCUGAACCAGCCAAGUAGCGUGAAGGAUGACUGCCCUAUGGGUUGUAAACUUCUUUUAUAUGGGAAUAAAAUGUUCCACGUGUGGGAUUUUGUAUGUAUCAUAUGAAUAAGGAUCGGCUAACUCCGUGCCAGCAGCCGCGGUAAUACGGAGGAUCCGAGCGUUAUCCGGAUUUAUUGGGUUUAAAGGGAGCGUAGGUGGAUUGUUAAGUCAGUUGUGAAAGUUUGCGGCUCAACCGUAAAAUUGCAGUUGAAACUGGCAGUCUUGAGUACAGUAGAGGUGGGCGGAAUUCGUGGUGUAGCGGUGAAAUGCUUAGAUAUCACGAAGAACUCCGAUUGCGAAGGCAGUUCACUGGACUGCAACUGACACUGAGGCUCGAAAGUGUGGGUAUCAAACAGGAUUAGAUACCCCAGUAGUC
This 460-nucleotide ribosomal RNA is filed under the name uncultured bacterium. Its description in RNAcentral is "partial 16S ribosomal RNA". It matches the Rfam family "Bacterial small subunit ribosomal RNA", at positions 338 to 795 of the family's 1533-position model. The record is from RNAcentral.